AGACGGGGGGUGCUAGCGUUGUUCGGAAUCACUGGGCGUAAAGGGCGCGUAGGCGGCCGCGCAAGUCGGAUGUGAAAGCCCGGGGCUCAACUCCGGAAUGGCAUCCGGGACUGCGUGGCUGGAGACCGGAAGAGGAGGGUGGAAUUCCCAGUGUAGAGGUGAAAUUCGUAGAUAUUGGGAGGAACACCGGUGGCGAAAGCGGCUCUCUGGUCCGGUUCUGACGCUGAGGCGCGAAAGCGUGGGGAGCAAACAGGAUUAGAUACCCUGGUAGUCCACGCCCUAAACGAUGUGCGCUGGAUGUCGGGAGCAUGGCUUCCGGUGUCGUAGCUAACGCGUUAAGCGCACCGCCUGGGGAGUACGGCCGCAAGGUUGAA
This 374-nucleotide ribosomal RNA is filed under the name uncultured bacterium. RNAcentral's name for it is "bacterial SSU rRNA". It matches the Rfam family "Bacterial small subunit ribosomal RNA", at positions 523 to 898 of the family's 1533-position model. The record is from RNAcentral.